This 465-nucleotide ribosomal RNA is filed under the name uncultured Klebsiella sp. RNAcentral describes it as "bacterial SSU rRNA". It matches the Rfam family "Bacterial small subunit ribosomal RNA", at positions 338 to 795 of the family's 1533-position model. Lineage: Bacteria; Pseudomonadati; Pseudomonadota; Gammaproteobacteria; Enterobacterales; Enterobacteriaceae. The record is from RNAcentral.
CCUACGGGUGGCAGCAGUGGGGAAUAUUGCACAAUGGGCGCAAGCCUGAUGCAGCCAUGCCGCGUGUGUGAAGAAGGCCUUCGGGUUGUAAAGCACUUUCAGCGGGGAGGAAGGCGGUGAGGUUAAUAACCUCAUCGAUUGACGUUACCCGCAGAAGAAGCACCGGCUAACUCCGUGCCAGCAGCCGCGGUAAUACGGAGGGUGCAAGCGUUAAUCGGAAUUACUGGGCGUAAAGCGCACGCAGGCGGUCUGUCAAGUCGGAUGCGAAAUCCCCGGGCUCAACCUGGGAACUGCAUUCGAAACUGGCAGGCUAGAGUCUUGUAGAGGGGGGUAGAAUUCCAGGUGUAGCGGUGAAAUGCGUAGAGAUCUGGAGGAAUACCGGUGGCGAAGGCGGCCCCCUGGACAAAGACUGACGCUCAGGUGCGAAAGCGUGGGGAGCAAACAGGAUUAGAUACCCUUGUAGUC